AAAUGUAGUAGACUUUAAGUAUACAUGUGGAACUGGGGAGUAUACUAAGUACACUACGUUUAU
Molecule: microRNA precursor, 63 nt
Organism: Maylandia zebra (zebra mbuna)
Lineage: Eukaryota; Metazoa; Chordata; Actinopteri; Cichliformes; Cichlidae
Source: Ensembl